This 551-nucleotide ribosomal RNA is filed under the name uncultured Methanobacteriaceae archaeon. Its description in RNAcentral is "bacterial SSU rRNA". It matches the Rfam family "Archaeal small subunit ribosomal RNA", at positions 325 to 876 of the family's 1478-position model. The record is from RNAcentral. Lineage: Archaea; Methanobacteriati; Methanobacteriota; Methanobacteria; Methanobacteriales; Methanobacteriaceae.
ACGGGGUGCAGCAGGCGCGAAACCUCCGCAAUGCACGCAAGUGCGACGGGGGGACCCCAAGUGCCACUCUUAACGGGGUGGCUUUUCAGGAGUGUAAAAAGCUCCUGGAAUAAGGGCUGGGCAAGACCGGUGCCAGCCGCCGCGGUAACACCGGCAGCUCGAGUGGUAGCCGCGUUUAUUGGGCCUAAAGCGUCCGUAGCCGGUCCGAUAAGUCUCUGGUGAAAGCCCACAGCUCAACUGUGGGAAUCGCUGGAGAUACUAUCGGACUUGAGGCCGGGAGAGGCUGGAGGUACUCCCAGGGUAGGGGUGAAAUCCUAUAAUCCUGGGAGGACCACCUGUGGCGAAGGCGUCCAGCUGGAACGGACCUGACGGUGAGGGACGAAAGCCAGGGGCGCGAACCGGAUUAGAUACCCGGGUAGUCCUGGCCGUAAACGAUGCGGACUUGGUGUUGGGACGGCUUUGAGCUGUCCCAGUGCCGAAGGGAAGCUGUUAAGUCCGCCGCCAGGGAAGUACGGCCGCAAGGCUGAAACUUAAAGGAAUUGGCGGGGGAG